AUACAGGAGACAUGAGGUAUUUGGUCUGACGAUCGUAUGUUCCGAAUAGGAGGCCUUGGUAGCAGGUAGAUUUUUUGGAGUCGCUUGGAGUAUCUUGUCUGCCGGUUCCCACAUUACAUCUGAAGACCUAUUUCUGGUUUUCAUUUGUACUUUAUUUGGUCUAUGUUUUUGGUUUACUUAGCAAUGUAAAUUUAUGUUUUGGUUCCAGAGUGUUUUGAUAUGGUGUCUUGUAUUGUUUUGUUGUGUUGUGUAAGCCUAGCCGGCUAGCAGUCCUUGUUUUUUGUCUGUGAUGGUUUUUUGACAUUUUCCAAUGUGUUUUUAGUUUUUAGUA
Zingiber officinale is the source of this 331-nucleotide long non-coding RNA. RefSeq lists it as uncharacterized. NCBI's taxonomy places the organism in Eukaryota, Viridiplantae, Streptophyta, Magnoliopsida, Zingiberales, Zingiberaceae. The record is from RefSeq and is a predicted model, not a curated record. The transcript has 2 exons.